RNA transcript from Bactrocera neohumeralis, 5876 nucleotides. RefSeq lists it as uncharacterized. The transcript has 4 exons. The record is from RefSeq and is a predicted model, not a curated record. Lineage: Eukaryota; Metazoa; Arthropoda; Insecta; Diptera; Tephritidae.
GUCUUAAAACAAUAAUGAAUUGUUUAUGAAAGAACAAAAUAGAAAAAAGAGAGCACCAUUCGAAUUCAUUGGUUCAAUUUACCAUAUAUUAUUCGGAAUUAUGGAUGCUGAUGACCGAGAAAAUAUGGAAUCAAAACUAGAAAUAUUUUCGACAACCAAAAAGUUAUAGCAAAAUUGUUUAAAAGGCAGACAUCGGUAGUUGAUUCUACCAUAAAUAUAUUAAAAAAGACAACAGAUAAAGUUAACCGUAAUUUUGAGAAAAUCCCAGGUAGGAAUUGCCAAGCUUCACGACCGGAUCAACCGUGGAUUAGUCGUGGUUAACCAGGCUUUGGUAGUCCGGGACUGAACCAGGCUUGGUAUCUUAGUCACAUCGGGUAAAGUCCAGGCUUGGAUCCCUCCCUGGUAUCAAGCCUGGUUGCCAAGUUUGUACCAAGUCUGGAAGAAGUCUGGUUCAUUCAGCCUUGGCUUAUAGUUUCUCAGCCAGUCCUGGGCCCAGGCUGGCUGAAAUUGAUUCCUUUUCAAUCAGGCUGCAUCCUGAUUUUACUUCGCUGCGAAAUCAAAACGUUGCAAUGUCUAAUAGUAUAAUGCUUGAUUGCUAACUCCAUAUUAAUUUCCUUCUCAAUAUUUAUAAUAUUGACAUCCAGUUGGCGCUUCCAUCGAGAACACAAAUGUCAACGUCUAAAAAUUAAAUUCGAUUAAUGAGUGGUGUUCAAUCAUGAGUUCCACAGGGUAUUCGAAUUCGCGGGAACGAGUGAAAAAAUACCGUUUUUUAAAAACAUUUGGUGACUCUAAUGUUAAUAAUAGUAUGGACAGUUCUGAUGAGGAUUUUCGUGAUGAAUCAAUGGAUUCUUCUGAUAAAAACUUGCUCCAAGCACAGAAAGAUGAAAGGAGCCCUAACCAAGCAAAGCCAUCUCAUGAUUUAGAAAAUUGUGCAGAAUCUCCAAGUGGAGUUCUACAACAAGAUACAUCGCUAGAGAGUUUCGCAGGGUUUUCAAGUUUUAUGUCGGUUGACGACGAUGAUGACAACGCAAUAACACCUGUCAGUCUGGGAGCAAAUGCAGCCCCUCAACAGACCGAGCUGAUGAACUUAGGAAUUGAGAUUGAAGCACCUCAGACCCUCACUGAGAAAAUACGCCAGCUAACACUUGAUAAUAUAGGCAGCAUCAAGAUGAAAGUGGCGAGUGGAUUUUUAGAAAUUCUGCGUAGUGAAGGACACACUGAAGUGCCAUCCACUGCCCAUAAACUUCUUGGCUUCAAUCACCGCGUGAAAACCAAACCGAUGAUGGUGUAUAAAGAUCAGAUUGGGGAUUUUUUUUAUCUCGGAAUUCGAAAUGGUUUGGAGAAACGAAUAGACGUGAAUGUCUACAAAGAACAAAACAUACGUGUGUUAGUUCAUAUAGAUGGAUUGAAGGUAUACCAUUAUUCCAAGGGAAGUCUCUGGCCUAUUACGAUGAAGUUGGUGACAAAAAAAUAUACCUGCGGUCCUUUUGUAGUAGCCUUGUUUUAUGGUAGGUCCAAGCCAAAAAAUGUGAGUGAUUUUUUGAGUGAUUUCGUAGAGGAAGCUAAAAAAUUAAUCUUCGAAGGCAUAACCAUCGAUGGUUGUAAAUUCAAUUUUGAAAUAAAAGCUAUUGUUGCGGAUAGUCCAGCGAGGGCAUUCCUCAAGUGCAUAAAAGGGCCAACAGCCUUUUAUGGCUGUGAAAGAUGUACAGUUCAAGGGGAAACUCGGAAUCGAAGAAGAGUUUAUCCUGAUUUGAACUGUGCAUUACGAACGAAAGAGAAUUUUGUCACUCAAACAGAUGUCAAUCAUCACUUAAGGGAUAAAAAAACGCAGCAACUGCUGGUUUCACCAUUGCUUCAGAUUCCUAAUUUUGAUCCAGUUAAAGACUUCCCGUUAGAUAUUAUGCAUUUCUUAUUUUUAAAUGUAAUGAAAAAUCUUGGAGAAAAAUGGGUGAAGAGGGAGAAAAAUAAUUAUAAAUUAUCAACACAACAGUUGAAAGAAUUUUCAGAUUUAAUGAAUUCGAUGAAAGAUUAUGUAACGGCAGAAUUUCAGAGGAAGGAGUUUGAUGUCGAGGAAAUUGGGCAAUGGAAAGCAACUCAGUGCUCAUUUUUACUGCUUUACGCCGGUGGCAUUGUCCUGCAGCUUGUUCUCGAUGAUGACAAAUAUCAACACUUUCUGCUACUUCAUGUAGCAUGUCGUGUUUUGUGCAGUGAUAAAUUGAUAACCAGGGGUCUUCCCAUGGCAAAGAUUCUAUUGCAUAAUUUCGUUCAACUAAUGCCGAUUUAUUAUGGAGAAGACAGUGUCAUAAUGACAAUUCAUCACCUCAGUCACCUCUCUGAUGACGCAGCUCAAUUUAAAACCUCACUGAGCCACUACUCUGCAUUUUGGGGGGAGAAUUUUAUAGGCCAGUUGAAGGAUUUUGCAAGUAGCCGAGCGAAACCCAUGGCACAAAUCGCCUCAGUGCUUUAGACUCAUCAGACAGUGCAAAAGUGAGACCUCGUGUUGCAAUACGUGAUGUGAAACCUGAAAAAUUCCCUGAGACAGUUAAAAUAAGUUGUGAAGAAUAUUCAUCAGUCAAAUCAGUAACUUAUAAUGACAUGAUUCUACAUGCUGUGGAACCUAACAAUGUCGUGGAACUAACCACGGAAAAACUCUUUGUUAUUUCAAAAUUAUGGGUUAAAUCAAAGUGCCAUCAUAGUGAAAAGUCAACGGACGAUAUUUACUUAGAUGGAUUUAAACUGCACUCCUUAAAUGAUGUGUUUGACGCUCCCUGUGCGUCAAGAGAAAUUGGCAUUUUCGCAAUUGACAAAUUAGCAGGUUCGCAUGAGCUGGUAACCAUCGGUGCUGUGAAAUCCAAGUGUUUAAUGAUGAAAAUCAAAGAAAAAUAUUAUGCUGUGUCCUCGUUGCAUUCAUAACGUCGAUUGUUUCAAUAGUGCAAUGUUGAUGGCUAUGAUGGUUUUUGCGGGGGUUUUCGCACGGAGAGAGGAGACGGAUCCAGUGUCAAAUUUUUGAAAAACGGCGGUUCAUUUGUAAAUGUUGGUGUUAUUGUACAUAUAUCCCGCAAUAACGGUGAUAUUGCGUCAUUUUUCUGCACGGCGUCAUUGCCUGUGGGCAAUCCAUAACAGCUUGGAUUAAUUCGCUAUUUCACGUAAGUAUUUUUGCCAAUUGUUUAUGAUUCAGAAUGAAGUAUUAUUCUCUUCUCCUCUUUUAUUAGUUGUCUCAGCAUUUGUCGAAAAUUUUACACAUUUCCACAAUCUUUUCAUAUAACCUCCAAAAAUUAUGCCUGAUGAUGUUGACGUCAUAAUUUACUGUGUUGAAACAUUGAGCGAUAAAAAAACUUUAGACAGUAAAUUCACACAUUUGUGAGAAUACUUUUUAAAAAUACUUCCAUUGAAUAUUACGUCAAUUAAUUAUUCGAAAAAUUAUUACAAAAUACAUUUGUGAGAAUACUUUUUAAAAAUACUUCCAUUGAAUAUUACGUCAAUUAAUUAAUCGAAGAAUUGUUGCAAAAUACUUCGCACAUUGAAAGGACCAUUCACUUAAACUGUCUCAUUCAAGUACACAUUUUUUUAUUCAUCAACUUCCUCGGAAUGAGUACUCAAGAGGAAGAUGGCAAAUUGUUUCAAAUUGUGGAGUUCCUGGACGAAAUUACUGAGACUGGGAAAAAAACCCUUGAAAUCGUUCCAGCGUCGUGGGUGACCAGAACCGAUGGAAACAACAAUAGUACUUGUGCUUUUCCUCCCCCACAUAAAUAUUGUAUAAUAGACACAAAAGUGAAAGAUCUCAGUCCUCCAGAAUCAUCGUGGGAGAAAUUUGACGUUGAAAUUCUCACAAGUGCUCGUAUGAAUAACGUUAUACUAAUAUUUUCAUGCAUACCCAAUAGUUUAUCAACGAAUUGAAAUAAAUGAACUCUUCUUUAUUAGUUUUUAACCUACUCUUUUCAGGGAAUUACGACAAGGCCCAGAGGAGGAUCAAACGUCUUUAUAAAAAACGUGAUAACGUAGAAUCCACAGAUUCAGGUACUGAAACCAAUCGAGCUAGAAAAUUAACCAAAAAUCAAGCGGCAAUGAUGUCAAGGCAAACUUUUUCUCUCUUAGAACAAAUUGUCGAAGAAAGGGAGUCCUCUACAUUAAGAACAUCGAGAAUUCCUGAGGCUGAAGUUUCCAGAAAUAAAAAUCAACCAAGAGAUGAUGAGGCAGCCGGGGCUAGAGCGUCUCAAAGUAGAACAGCGUACAGUGACACAAAAUCAGAGAAAAAAUCGGCAUUGAUAGCUUGCCUUACACGUCUGAGGGGGAGUGCCAUAGGCGAUCCUCUUAAAGAAUUUGUCAUGGAUUACUGGGAUGCUAAAUUGGAUUUCCUCAUGUACAAACUACGUGACGAUUUCUCAAACUUAAAACGAUGCAUCCAGUACGAUUUAAAUAGAAAAAUCGAAGAGCUCAAAAUUAACAUGACCAUGCAUCAUGUUGCUGGAGCUCAACCCAUGGCGUCCCCUAUUGAAGAAUUAUCUACAAACUUUCCUAUUAAGACUUUGGAAGAGUUCCUCGAUUUUGAGAGGACUCUCGACCCAAUGCAUGAGGACAAUUUGGCUGACCCUGAAAAGGCUUUGAGCAAGCGUGUGACACUUAAAGAAUUUAUGAGUGUGUUAACGCAUAAAGAAUCCAAUUACGCUGCAGACAUUAAGAAGAUCCUCAAGGAAUUAAUCGCCAAAGAAGUUCAACUUAAUUAUAGUGGCGUAGGCCGUGUUGUCAAAGGAAAAGGAAAAAAAAAUUUCAGUGCAACAGCGACUUUUGCGUGUAUGAGAGGAUUGCAUACGAAGUCCAUUCAUGGUAACUGACUUAUUUGGUUUUCAUUGAUUUUUUUACUCGGUUUCCAGAUUUCAUUGAGACAAAAUAUAAAGACUCUAAUCGACCAUUGAAGAUUAUUACGACUACAAGUGAUUGGCUAGCAGGUGCUGGCGACAGAGAUGGAGGAUGCAUACAGCGUAAAAAGGAAGUUGGUGCAGUUUAACUGAAAAAAGAGCUUAGAAGGAUCGAACCAAAACUCACCAGUCAGUGAAAACUUAAUUUUGCGAAUUUACUGUUUUUCGUGUUAAAAAAAAGGAGUUAAUUUUUAACGUUAAUUUUUUUGUUCAAUAUUAUCAAGGGGUUUGUCCAGUUACGACAAUUCAGGCAAUAAAUUUGUAUUUUUUGUGUUUAAAAAAGGAGUUACGUUAAUGUUUGUUGUUCAUUAUUAUCGGCAGUUUUGUUUAGUUACGACAACAUAAUGCUUAUUUUUCAUUUUCCAUGUGGAUAAAGUCCAUUUAAAGUAUAUGUAUAACAAUAUAGAAAAUAUUAAUAAUAUAAUAAAGAUUAAACAUAAUUACUUCCGAUAAAUCGUGCUUCAUUGAAUGUGUCAAUCCACAAAAUACCUAUUCAAAUUACAUCUGAACCCUGGCUAAGCCAAGGUAUUAAAAAAAAAUAAGCUUGGAACGGCGCUGGUUCCAGGGCCUGGACCAGUGUUAAUAAACGGCCUGGGCCAGCCCUAGUUACCAGGUCUGGCCCCACGUUACAUUCCAAUGCUCAUCCACUAUUGGUCCGGGCUUGGAUACCAAGCCUGAUCCAAGCUUACCAAGUCUUGGGAACGGCUUGGUUAAAGGCUGGGCCAUUGGUGAUUUCCUACCUGGGAUGAAUCAACAACUUAAUAAAUUUUAUAACGAGCUAAUAAAAGAUCAAAAUGCUGAGCGAAUGACCUUGAUGUUUCAAAUAUUCACCGCACUUAUGUACACUAAGCAUACACACAUAUACAUAUGUACCUAGUUAAGAGAUUAGAAUUAAGAAAUGUAUUGACGAAACAAAUUUAAAUAAAGAAUUUCAGAGUCAAACGUGAACUCUCACAGUAA